Chelonus insularis is the source of this 616-nucleotide long non-coding RNA. RefSeq lists it as uncharacterized. The transcript has 2 exons. The record is from RefSeq and is a predicted model, not a curated record. NCBI's taxonomy places the organism in Eukaryota, Metazoa, Arthropoda, Insecta, Hymenoptera, Braconidae.
CUUAGCAGAGAGUUGAAAAAUUUGUCUAGUUUUUUUCCUCUCAACUCAACUUUUAUCUUGAGGGUGAGAACAGAGACAAAAAUGGCUGAGUAAAGAGUAAAUACGAUUAAUGGAAUUUUAGUCAUAAGGUUAAUUUUGGGGUUAAGUAAGAAGAUCAUGCCCCCCUUUGGAAUCAAAAUCAAGAUAUUUAUUCAAUAAACUAUGGUUUAAUUGAUUUAAUUUAAUUCAAUUCAAUUUAAUUGAUUUAAUUUAAUUCAAUUCAAUUAAUAUAAAUAACAAAACUUUUGCAUAGACAGAAGUAAGUUGCUAAAGAUUUUCAUAGCCUGGUAAAACUAACCUUAAAAAUAAAAACAACAAUUGGAGUUUGUGCUUCAAAAAUAGCAAUGAACAGGAGUUGCCACAAUUCAUAACAGGCCUAAUAAAUAUAAAUAAGGUUAAAGAAUCAGAAAUAAUGUUGAUGGAUUGCUGAAGACAGAGAAUUUUUUAGUUAGAAUCAAGAAGAAAAAAUGUUUCUACCUCAUUGAUGACGGUAUGAAGGUUAGAGAAAUUACUUCCAUGUGUCUGUAAGUAAUCAGUCAUCAAAAAAUUUUGAGGAAUAAAAGGCUAAAAACUCCUA